This 69-nucleotide transfer RNA is filed under the name Ansonia sp. KUHE 17486. RNAcentral describes it as "tRNA-Val". It matches the Rfam family "tRNA". From Rfam's summary of the family: Transfer RNA (tRNA) molecules are approximately 80 nucleotides in length. The record is from RNAcentral. Lineage: Eukaryota; Metazoa; Chordata; Amphibia; Anura; Bufonidae.
CGUAUUAUAGCUUAACUAAAGCAUCUCGCUUACACCGAGAAUAUGUCCGUUAAAACCAGACUUUUGCGA